RNAcentral lists this ribosomal RNA (292 nucleotides) under uncultured bacterium. RNAcentral describes it as "partial 16S ribosomal RNA". It matches the Rfam family "Bacterial small subunit ribosomal RNA", at positions 505 to 796 of the family's 1533-position model. The record is from RNAcentral.
GUUUCAGCAGCCGCGGUAAGACGAACCGUGCGAACGUUGUUCGGAAUCACUGGGCUUAAAGGGCGCGUAGGCGGGGCCGCAAGUCCGGGGUGAAAGCCCCCAGCUCAACUGGGGAAGCGCCCCGGAUACUGCGGCCCUCGAGGGGGGUAGGGGCGUGCGGAACUUCCGGUGGAGCGGUGAAAUGCGUAGAUAUCGGAAGGAACACCGGUGGCGAAAGCGGCGCGCUGGACCCCUUCUGACGCUGAGGCGCGAAAGCCAGGGGAGCAAACGGGAUUAGAUACCCUAGUAGUCC